GCUCUAAUUUUAGCUUUUCAGUCACUCAAUUUGUGCAGUUUUGUACUGCAAAGUUUCUUUUCGUAGUGAUGUUCGAUUCGCGAACAAAUGGCUCAUUUGUGUCGAUUCUUUUAAACAAAUCUGAAAAAUAGGUUCGCAAACAAAGUCGCGAAUCUGAAUCAAUAGCAAAUCUCCCACAACGCGGCGUGAGUUUCUCCUGAGGAAUCUAAACUGGAUUAAAAACUCUCCAUGCAAGUUUUAACUCUUCUUGCAGUGCAUUAUGGGAUUGCCUUUUCUGUGAAGGUACAUGUCAUGCUGCCUCAGAAUCUGGCACUAAGAAGGGAGUGACCCGUGAUGCCUUACAAUGCUGUCUAGGGUUCUCGGUCCAUCUUUCAUGUGCACAGCUGCUCACCUUAUAUCCGCCAAUAUCCCUGCGGCUCCCCUCUGCCUCUCUCUGCCCCGCACCGUCUGCAAGAUCGUCCCGCCGGACGUGCAAACACACAAGCUCUCGUACAGACAGUGAUGGAGGGCGGCACUGACUCCAGACCAGCGCGUCCACGACACACUGACACACUGUCCCGCGCUCACAGAGUCCAUCGAUCCGAUCCGGAUGGACGGCCGAAGACAAAGACGCACACGUACUGCAGCUUCAGAGCCGUUUCUACACCGCUAAACUGAGCAAAUCUAGAAUGAACUCAAGCACAGCUCAAAACUUCACAACUGACUGAAUCUAAUUCCCUUUAUAUCUUCUUUGGAUGCUUUGCUGUUGUAGCUGAAGUCUUUUGAAAAACUCAUAAAGCACUGGACACUCUUAUGAGACACAGGCGUGUUUUUAAGUCAGCUUUCUCUUGUGUUUGUGGUCAGAAUUCAGUGUGUGAGAAACUGAAUUCAGCCACAGCAGAAUGUUAUAGAGAUCAGAUCUACAUCAGGCCCAAAUAUUUAUUAUAGACUAUAAAAGUAUUUUAAUAUUUUGAAUCAGUUUUAUUUCCUGUUUUAUAUUUAUUUCAGUUUUAGUUUCAGUAAUUUCACUGUACAGUAAGUACUUUUUUCAGUAUUUCUCAUUUUUGUUUAAUUUUUUCAUCUAAAAUUAGUAUUUUAUUUUUAAUCAGCUCUUUCAAUUAACAAAAAGAUUUGUAAGAGUUUUAGUUCAUAACAGGACUGUUGUCUGUUUUUCAAGUCUUGUGAAAUCAUGUGAUAAUCAUAAAUGAGAAUCUUCAGUGAGAUUUUAACUAGAUGGAGUCACUGAGUCGUCUGAUUUAGGAACAAUCAUUCUAACGAUUAAAUGAUUCACUGAAAAGAUUCACUUCAACGGAAUGAUUCCUUAGCAUUACAUGAAUUUUAAAGUCUCUUAUGCUCUUCCAUGUUGAUUUAAUAAAUCCUUAAUGAAUAAAAGUAUUAAUCUCUUUCAUAAAUUCAUACUGAAUUUUGAACAGUAGUGUAUUUUUUAUCACAGAAUUUAUUAAUCUUUGUUAAUGUCAAUCAAUAAAAAUAUAAUUGUUCAUGUUAGCUCACAGUGAAUUAACUACUGCUAACAGAUACACCUUUUAACUUUAUAAACGGAAAAUUAACACAAUUACAAAAUUAUCAUUAGUUUGAUUAAUUCAUAUUCCGUAGAAGUAUUAUUAGUCAUGUUAAGUAAUGUAGUUAAGUAAUGUUAAUGAAUGAGAACUUAUUGUAAAGCAUUAAUGAUUCAUUCACAAAUUUGCUGUUUCUCUCAUGAAUCAUGUAAUAUUGACUAAAAUUAAAAUUGGAAUUCAUAAAAUAUCACAUGACUUCAGAAGACCUGGACUAAAGCACUCCAGUCAUAUGGAUGCAUUUAAGGGUCUUUUAAUGGUGCUUUUAAGUCCUUUUUAACCUUAAUAAGCUUCAGUUGGCAUUCAACCUGUAAACGAUGCCAGAAUGAUGAUUUUUGGGUGAACUGUUGCUUUAAUACGGCAGUCUGAACUGUUGAUAUGUGCAUGUGUAAUUUGUGUCCCUGUGCUGUUCAGAGCGAACGAGAGCGAAGCGUGAACGUUCAGCAGAGGAGCGCGUCACACUUUCUGAGUCCUUCAGAGAGGAAAGUUCAUUAAACACCUCUGGGACGAGUCUCCUUAGUUUAGCGGUGACAUCUGGGUGUGCAACGGUUAAAACGUUCGCACCUGUUUCUGAACGCUCUGCCACACACACACUCGACAGACGGCAGAGAGAGAGAAAGAGAGAGAGAGUUAUUCUGCGGCCCUUCACCUGCUUUGAUAAAAUAAGGCAAUUACUGUGAGACAAGCGCGAGAAGUGCAGGGGACGGCAGUCAGGCGUUUACUUAAACUGGAGUUUCUACUUCAAAGGGCCGAAGGAGCCGCAGCGGAGCGAGAGCGGAGGAGAGCUCGCCAUCUCAUCAGAAACACAUCUGAUAUUCCUCUCACCCUAAUCCUCACACAGCGGCCGCCAUUAGCCUGAACACACACACACACACACACUCACUCACUCACUCACUCACUCACACACACACACAAAUUCAACAGACAGAGCUUUUUAGUACAAGCGACAGCUGAGCGAUGAAUCUCUUUGCAAGUCAAGGUGAAAUAUCGUAGCUUUCCAUUCAAAGUUGAGAAUUUAACUUGUGUGUAAAAUUGGAAUAUUGCAAAAAACAUCUGCAAAUAAAGCAGCGUUUCAUCCUAUGUGUUCAAGAGAACAAAAUCGUCUCUUCCUGGGAAAUUUGCACAAAAUAUCUGCAAUAAAAAUGUAAGUUCUUUCAAUCGGGCUCUUUUUUCCUCCAUCAUAAAUGAGUUGGUCUGAGAGCGUCAGACGAAACACAAUAAACGCUGUCAUGUGAUCUUGCGUUCGGAUGCUGGUGUUUGGGAACACAAGACGCUUCUGGAGGAAUUAAACCAAAUCAUUGUGAUGACAGACUUUGACUCAGGCGUUUCAGAACCACCAAACCAACAUUUGAGAUGCUUUGAUGCGAUUGGUCCACUGGUUAGUCCAGUUAUCCAAUCACAGCCUCUGCUGAGGCAAAGUCACAUGAGGUUUUGAGGGAUUUAUUCGGUAAAUGAAAUUCAGUGGGGUUUUGUCAAACCUGGCAUAGAUUUUCUUCAUCUGAACACACAAAUGAGAUUUCAGAGGUUCUAAUUUUAUUGUGACUAAUCAAAUGUAAGUAAAUGUGUAAAUAAAAGUGCCUUUGACUUUUGAUCUGUUCAUCUCUGAGUUAUAUCCUGUAAUAUCCUAAUGAAAAAAACUAGAAACUGUGUUAAAUUAGAAAUUGCAAAAAAAAAAAAAAAGUAUGAUCUCAGAGUUUUGGACCCUGCUGUAUGUAAGU
Molecule: long non-coding RNA, 3271 nt
Organism: Ctenopharyngodon idella (grass carp)
Lineage: Eukaryota; Metazoa; Chordata; Actinopteri; Cypriniformes; Xenocyprididae
Exons: 4
Source: RefSeq, a predicted model, not a curated record